Molecule: ribosomal RNA, 2865 nt
Filed under: Escherichia coli
Lineage: Bacteria; Pseudomonadati; Pseudomonadota; Gammaproteobacteria; Enterobacterales; Enterobacteriaceae
Description: partial 23S ribosomal RNA
Rfam family: Bacterial large subunit ribosomal RNA
Source: RNAcentral
GGGUUGUGAGGUUAAGCGACUAAGCGUACACGGUGGAUGCCCUGGCAGUCAGAGGCGAUGAAGGACGUGCUAAUCUGCGAUAAGCGUCGGUGAGGUGAUAUGAACCGUUAUAACCGGCGAUUUCCGAAUGGGGAAACCCAGUGUGUUUCGACACACUAUCAUUAACUGAAUCCAUAGGUUAAUGAGGCGAACCGGGGGAACUGAAACAUCUAAGUACCCCGAGGAAAAGAAAUCAACCGAGAUUCCCCCAGUAGCGGCGAGCGAACGGGGAGGAGCCCAGAGCCUGAAUCAGUGUGUGUGUUAGUGGAAGCGUCUGGAAAGGCGUGCGAUACAGGGUGACAGCCCCGUACACAAAAAUGCACAUAUUGUGAGCUCGAUGAGUAGGGCGGGACACGUGGUAUCCUGUCUGAAUAUGGGGGGACCAUCCUCCAAGGCUAAAUACUCCUGACUGACCGAUAGUGAACCAGUACCGUGAGGGAAAGGCGAAAAGAACCCCGGCGAGGGGAGUGAAAAAGAACCUGAAACCGUGUACGUACAAGCAGUGGGAGCCUCUUAAUGGGGUGACUGCGUACCUUUUGUAUAAUGGGUCAGCGACUUAUAUUCUGUAGCAAGGUUAACCGAAUAGGGGAGCCGAAGGGAAACCGAGUCUUAACUGGGCGUUAAGUUGCAGGGUAUAGACCCGAAACCCGGUGAUCUAGCCAUGGGCAGGUUGAAGGUUGGGUAACACUAACUGGAGGACCGAACCGACUAAUGUUGAAAAAUUAGCGGAUGACUUGUGGCUGGGGGUGAAAGGCCAAUCAAACCGGGAGAUAGCUGGUUCUCCCCGAAAGCUAUUUAGGUAGCGCCUCGUGAAUUCAUCUCCGGGGGUAGAGCACUGUUUCGGCAAGGGGGUCAUCCCGACUUACCAACCCGAUGCAAACUGCGAAUACCGGAGAAUGUUAUCACGGGAGACACACGGCGGGUGCUAACGUCCGUCGUGAAGAGGGAAACAACCCAGACCGCCAGCUAAGGUCCCAAAGUCAUGGUUAAGUGGGAAACGAUGUGGGAAGGCCCAGACAGCCAGGAUGUUGGCUUAGAAGCAGCCAUCAUUUAAAGAAAGCGUAAUAGCUCACUGGUCGAGUCGGCCUGCGCGGAAGAUGUAACGGGGCUAAACCAUGCACCGAAGCUGCGGCAGCGACACUAUGUGUUGUUGGGUAGGGGAGCGUUCUGUAAGCCUGUGAAGGUGGCCUGUGAGGGUUGCUGGAGGUAUCAGAAGUGCGAAUGCUGACAUAAGUAACGAUAAAGCGGGUGAAAAGCCCGCUCGCCGGAAGACCAAGGGUUCCUGUCCAACGUUAAUCGGGGCAGGGUGAGUCGACCCCUAAGGCGAGGCCGAAAGGCGUAGUCGAUGGGAAACAGGUUAAUAUUCCUGUACUUGGUGUUACUGCGAAGGGGGGACGGAGAAGGCUAUGUUGGCCGGGCGACGGUUGUCCCGGUUUAAGCGUGUAGGCUGGUUUUCCAGGCAAAUCCGGAAAACCAAGGCUGAGGCGUGAUGACGAGGCACUACGGUGCUGAAGCGACAAAUGCCCUGCUUCCAGGAAAAGCCUCUAAGCAUCAGGUAACAUCAAAUCGUACCCAAAACCGACACAGGUGGUCAGGUAGAGAAUACCAAGGCGCUUGAGAGAACUCGGGUGAAGGAACUAGGCAAAAUGGUGCCGUAACUUCGGGAGAAGGCACGCUGAUAUGUAGGUGAAGCGACUUGCUCGUGGAGCUGAAAUCAGUCGAAGAUACCAGCUGGCUGCAACUGUUUAUUAAAAACACAGCACUGUGCAAACACGAAAGUGGACGUAUACGGUGUGACGCCUGCCCGGUGCCGGAAGGUUAAUUGAUGGGGUUAGCGGUAACGCGAAGCUCUUGAUCGAAGCCCCGGUAAACGGCGGCCGUAACUAUAACGGUCCUAAGGUAGCGAAAUUCCUUGUCGGGUAAGUUCCGACCUGCACGAAUGGCGUAAUGAUGGCCAGGCUGUCUCCACCCGAGACUCAGUGAAAUUGAACUCGCUGUGAAGAUGCAGUGUACCCGCGGCAAGACGGAAAGACCCCGUGAACCUUUACUAUAGCUUGACACUGAACAUUGAGCCUUGAUGUGUAGGAUAGGUGGGAGGCUUUGAAGUGUGGACGCCAGUCUGCAUGGAGCCGACCUUGAAAUACCACCCUUUAAUGUUUGAUGUUCUAACGUUGGCCCGUAAUCCGGGUUGCGGACAGUGUCUGGUGGGUAGUUUGACUGGGGCGGUCUCCUCCUAAAGAGUAACGGAGGAGCACGAAGGUUGGCUAAUCCUGGUCGGACAUCAGGAGGUUAGUGCAAUGGCAUAAGCCAGCUUGACUGCGAGCGUGACGGCGCGAGCAGGUGCGAAAGCAGGUCAUAGUGAUCCGGUGGUUCUGAAUGGAAGGGCCAUCGCUCAACGGAUAAAAGGUACUCCGGGGAUAACAGGCUGAUACCGCCCAAGAGUUCAUAUCGACGGCGGUGUUUGGCACCUCGAUGUCGGCUCAUCACAUCCUGGGGCUGAAGUAGGUCCCAAGGGUAUGGCUGUUCGCCAUUUAAAGUGGUACGCGAGCUGGGUUUAGAACGUCGUGAGACAGUUCGGUCCCUAUCUGCCGUGGGCGCUGGAGAACUGAGGGGGGCUGCUCCUAGUACGAGAGGACCGGAGUGGACGCAUCACUGGUGUUCGGGUUGUCAUGCCAAUGGCACUGCCCGGUAGCUAAAUGCGGAAGAGAUAAGUGCUGAAAGCAUCUAAGCACGAAACUUGCCCCGAGAUGAGUUCUCCCUGACUCCUUGAGGGUCCUGAAGGAACGUUGAAGACGACGACGUUGAUAGGCCGGGUGUGUAAGCGCA